CUAGCCGUAAACGAUGGGUACUAGGUGUUGGGGAGACCCAGUGCUGAAGCUAACGCAUUAAGUUCUCCGCCUGAGGAGUACGCACGCAAGUGUAAAACUUAAAGGAAUUGACGGGGGCCCGCACAAGCAGUGGAGCAUGUGGUUUAAUUCGUGGCUACGCGAAGAACCUUACCAGGGCUUGACAGGAAACUUAAGACCCUAGAGAUAGGGGGAUAAUAAGUGAAACAGGUGG
This 232-nucleotide ribosomal RNA is filed under the name uncultured Bacillota bacterium. Its description in RNAcentral is "uncultured Firmicutes bacterium partial 16S ribosomal RNA". It matches the Rfam family "Bacterial small subunit ribosomal RNA", at positions 796 to 1041 of the family's 1533-position model. Lineage: Bacteria; Bacillati; Bacillota. The record is from RNAcentral.